UACAAGUAUGCAGGCAGUAAGGAACUUUGUAAACUCUGGGGACAAAACAGAAAAAAAGAGAAUGUCACCAAUAGACCAUAACACAGAAUUAGAAAUCAAUCUAAAGAUCCACUCAAAACUCCCAGUAACUUGUGGAUUGAAUACU
Molecule: unclassified non-coding RNA, 145 nt
Organism: Fukomys damarensis (Damara mole-rat)
Lineage: Eukaryota; Metazoa; Chordata; Mammalia; Rodentia; Bathyergidae
Source: Ensembl